AUACGUAGGUGACAAGCGUUAUCCGGAUUUACUGGGCGUAAAGGGCGUGUAGGCGGUCUUGCAAGUCAGAAGUGAAAUUCCUGAGCUCAACUCGGGCGCUGCUUCUGAAACUGCAGGACUUGAGUGCUGGAGGGGAUAGCGGAAUUCCUAGUGGAGCGGUAAAAUGCGCAGAUAUUAGGAAGAACACCGGUGGCGAAGGCGGCUAUCUGGACUGUAACUGACGCUGAGGCGCGAAAGCGUGGGGAGCAAACAGGAGUAGAUACCCUGGUAGUCCACGCCGUAAACGAUGAGUACUAGGUGUAGGGGGUAUCGACUCCCUCUGUGCCGCAGUUAACACAAUAAGUAUUCCGCCUGGGGAGUACGGCCGCAAGGUUGAAACUCAAAGGAAUUGACGGGG
This 397-nucleotide ribosomal RNA is filed under the name uncultured bacterium. RNAcentral describes it as "partial 16S ribosomal RNA". It matches the Rfam family "Bacterial small subunit ribosomal RNA", at positions 523 to 918 of the family's 1533-position model. The record is from RNAcentral.